AAUGAUGGCCAGGCUGUCUCCACCCGAGACUCAGUGAAAUUGAACUCGCUGUGAAGAUGCAGUGUACCCGCGGCAAGACGGAAAGACCCCGUGAACCUUUACUAUAGCUUGACACUGAACAUUGAGCCUUGAUGUGUAGGAUAGGUGGGAGGCUUUGAAGCGUGGACGCCAGUCUGCGUGGAGCCAACCUUGAAAUACCACCCUUUAAUGUUUGAUGUUCUAACGUGGACCCGUAAUCCGGGUUGCGGACAGUGUCUGGUGGGUAGUUUGACUGGGGCGGUCUCCUCCUAAAGAGUAACGGAGGAGCACGAAGGUUGGCUAAUCCUGGUCGGACAUCAGGAGGUUAGUGCAAUGGCAUAAGCCAGCUUGACUGCGAGCGUGACGGCGCGAGCAGGUGCGAAAGCAGGUCAUAGUGAUCCGGUGGUUCUGAAUGGAAGGGCCAUCGCUCAACGGAUAAAAGGUACUCCGGGGAUAACAGGCUGAUACCGCCCAAGAGUUCAUAUCGACGGCGGUGUUUGGCACCUCGAUGUCGGCUCAUCACAUCCUGGGGCUGAAGUAGGUCCCAAGGGUAUGGCUGUUCGCCAUUUAAAGUGGUACGCGAGCUGGGUUUAGAACGUCGUGAGACAGUUCGGUCCCUAUCUGCCGUGGGCGCUGGAGAACUGAGGGGGGCUGCUCCUAGUACGAGAGGACCGGAGUGGACGCAUCACUGGUGUUCGGGUUGUCAUGCCAAUGGCACUGCCCGGUAGCUAAAUGCGGAAGAGAUAAGUGCUGAAAGCAUCUAAGCACGAAACUUGCCCCGA
RNAcentral lists this ribosomal RNA (800 nucleotides) under Salmonella enterica. Its description in RNAcentral is "partial 23S ribosomal RNA". It matches the Rfam family "Bacterial large subunit ribosomal RNA", at positions 2003 to 2802 of the family's 2925-position model. Lineage: Bacteria; Pseudomonadati; Pseudomonadota; Gammaproteobacteria; Enterobacterales; Enterobacteriaceae. The record is from RNAcentral.